CACCAUACUGGAAUUCUGUUGAAUCUCCAGAAAACUUUUGUCAUAUAUAUAUAUAACUGCAGAUAAAUCACAAUGGCAUCAACAAGGAUAAUACAUUUAAAUGUUAUUCUAGUUUGAUCCCCCCCCAAAAUUGGGUUAAUUUUUAAAAUUGCCUCCAAUGUCUUUUUCCAAACAUUGUAAUAAUCUGGUGUCUAGUUUCAGAGCUGAAUUAAAGUGAGUCAACAGUCAUCCUUCUAUUUUCUUAUCGGGAAUUAUUCUACAACCUACAUUCUUUUCUGGUUUUCUAAUCAGAAUUGUGUCUUCCACUUUUGGGUUUAUAAUAGAGAGGCUGAAUAGAAUAGAGUAGAAUAGGAUAGGAUAGGAUAGGAUAGGAUAGAAUAGAAUAGAAUAGAAUAGAAUAGAAUAGAAUAGAAUAGAAUAGAAUAGAAUAGAAUUCUUUAUUGGCCAAGUGUGAUUGGAUACAUAAGGAAUUUGUCCUGGUGCGUAUGCUCUCAGUGUACAUAAAAGAAAAGAUGGAUUCAUGAACUAACGUAUAUGGCAUUUGUGUGUGUGUGUGUGUGUGUGUGUGUGUGUGUGUGAAUGGAAUAAGUUUUUCCCAACUAUGCCAUUAUAAUGUUCUAUGCUUUAAUAUUGGCUGAAUCUCAGAACUAAAGGAGCUGUUGCCCUUUGUCUAUUGAUUUCCUAUCAGCCUCAGCCAAAAAGGCCAAUGGUUAGUAACACUAGUUCUUGAAGCUUCUGCAAAGAGAUAUUUUGAGGAAUUCCAUCUUUAUGAAACCCUGAUAAUCUGCCCUGCCUUUAUUUUAUGUUCUAAUGGGCUGUUGGGGAUAUAAUUACCUUUAAUGCAGACAGUUUCACAUAGUGGGGAAGGUGAUGGCCUAGCAAUCCGAACACUGAGUUCUAGUCUUUCCUUUGCAUGAAAGCCAGUUGAAUGAUUUUGGGCCUGUUUCUCUUUCUCAGCUCAACCCACCUCAGAUUUUUUGUCUGGAAAAUUAGGUAGCAGAAGUAUUAUGUACACCAUCCUGAGUUGUAUAAAAUAAAGAUGGAAUAUAAAUGUAGUAUAAUCUUUUGGAUUAUAAAUUUCUCUGAAUUUGCUGGGGUGGGGGUGGGGGGAUUUCAAAGAAAAAUCUAUAAACAGCGGACUCUGCAAUAUGGAUUUUGAAUUAAAGGAUACUUUCUCAAGCUAUGUUUCAUGACAAAGUAUUCAAAAGUCGGGUUUGCAAGUCUCAGUUCUGUAGAAGUUUUGUACUGCAAUGGUGACACCGUGUGUCUUGUGGAGAUGCAUGGAGGAUGUGAUUUCCCCCCGCCCCCUCAGGAAUUCACUUUAGAGUGCUUUCUCCAACAGAAGCCUUUCCUAUCUACUACAGGCCCAGAAA
This is a non-coding RNA of Notechis scutatus (mainland tiger snake), 1373 nucleotides long. The record is from RefSeq and is a predicted model, not a curated record. Lineage: Eukaryota; Metazoa; Chordata; Lepidosauria; Squamata; Elapidae.